This 305-nucleotide ribosomal RNA is filed under the name uncultured Glomeromycotina. Its description in RNAcentral is "eukaryotic LSU rRNA". Lineage: Eukaryota; Fungi; Glomeromycota. The record is from RNAcentral.
UUUUGGGUGCGAUUCUGUGGAGUGUGAGGAGCUAAACACCUUCAUGCYUUGCAUAUUCGUACUCUUGGGUGUACUUGCCCGUGUGGUUGGUUAACAUCAAUUUUGGUCGUCAUAAAAUGAUUGGAGGAAUGUAGCUUCGAUCUCGUAUUGAAGUGUUAUAGCCUUUGGUAGAUGUGAUGAUCGGGAUUGAGGAUUGCAACGGAUACCCUUCGGGGCUACCUGUCUGAUCUCUGAUUGUUGCUUUGGUGCUGAAAGCGUGCUUAUGGUUAUCAAAGUCGAUGGUUAAUAGGUUAGAAUGGGUUAAA